This 770-nucleotide ribosomal RNA is filed under the name uncultured bacterium. RNAcentral's name for it is "bacterial SSU rRNA". It matches the Rfam family "Bacterial small subunit ribosomal RNA", at positions 78 to 848 of the family's 1533-position model. The record is from RNAcentral.
AGUGAUGUAUGAGUUAGUGGCGGACUGGUGAGUAACGCGUGGAGAACCUGCCGUAUACUGGGGGAUAACACUUAGAAAUAGGUGCUAAUACCGCAUAAGCGCACAGCUUCGCAUGAAGCAGUGUGAAAAACUCCGGUGGUAUACGAUGGAUCCGCGUCUGAUUAGCUGGUUGGCGGGGUAACAGCCCACCAAGGCGACGAUCAGUAGCCGGCCUGAGAGGGUGAACGGCCACAUUGGGACUGAGACACGGCCCAAACUCCUACGGGAGGCAGCAGUGGGGAAUAUUGCACAAUGGGGGAAACCCUGAUGCAGCGACGCCGCGUGAGUGAAGAAGUAUUUCGGUAUGUAAAGCUCUAUCAGCAGGGAAGAAAUACUGACCUUACGGUCAGCAGACGGUACCUGACUAAGAAGCCCCGGCUAACUACGUGCCAGCAGCCGCGGUAAUACGUAGGGGGCAAGCGUUAUCCGGAUUUACUGGGUGUAAAGGGAGCGUAGACGGCAGCGCAAGUCUGAAGUGAAAUCCCAUGGCUUAACCAUGGAACUGCUUUGGAAACUGUGCAGCUGGAGUGCAGGAGAGGUAAGCGGAAUUCCUAGUGUAGCGGUGAAAUGCGUAGAUAUUAGGAGGAACACCAGUGGCGAAGGCGGCUUACUGGACUGUAACUGACGUUGAGGCUCGAAAGCGUGGGGAGCAAACAGGAUUAGAUACCCUGGUAGUCCACGCCGUAAACGAUGAUUACUAGGUGUUGGGGGACCAAGGUCCUUCGGUGCCG